CGGUUAAAAAGCUCGUAGUUGGAUCUCGGCGGGCAGGGGGUGGUUCGCUCUUCAGCGCUACUGCCCCGCUUUGCCCGUGUGAUUGGCGGAGGUUUCGGGGUGCUCUUCGUUGAGUGACUCGGAGCGCCGUCAGGUUUACUUUGAAAAAAUUAGAGUGCUCAAAGCAGGCUUUUCACGCUUGAAUAUUCGUGCAUGGAAUAAUGGAAUAGGAACUCGUUUCUAUUUUGUUGGUUUUCGGAAAUCGAGUUAAUGAUUAACAGGGACAAUUGGGGGCAUUAGUAUUCAGACGACAGAGGUGAAAUUCUUGGACCGUCUGAAGACUGACUACUGCGAAAGCAUUUUGCCAAGAGUGUUUUCAUUAAUCAAGAACGAAAGUUAGAGGUUCGAAGGCGAUCAGAUACCGCCCUAGUUUCUAACCAUAAACGAUGCCAGCUAGCGAU
RNAcentral lists this ribosomal RNA (440 nucleotides) under uncultured marine eukaryote. RNAcentral's name for it is "SSU rRNA". It matches the Rfam family "Eukaryotic small subunit ribosomal RNA", at positions 616 to 1053 of the family's 1831-position model. The record is from RNAcentral.